Chrysoperla carnea is the source of this 499-nucleotide long non-coding RNA. RefSeq lists it as uncharacterized. The record is from RefSeq and is a predicted model, not a curated record. The transcript is spliced from 3 exons. NCBI's taxonomy places the organism in Eukaryota, Metazoa, Arthropoda, Insecta, Neuroptera, Chrysopidae.
GUUGUAUUUUCAUUAAAACAUUUUUAAUUUAAAUAAUGUUUCAAUAAAGUUACUUUAAAAACGUUAACGUUACUUGAAAUGUUUAAAUAAUGUUCCUUGAAGAAUAAUUAUUUAUUGUAAAGAUGGUUGUAAAAGUUUUCAGAUAAAAAUAUUGGCAAGCAGUUGGACUAAAAUUAUAUUUCUAAAAAGAGAUCAAUCAUCGAGAUGAUAUUGAAUCCGGACAAUUCCUAUAACUCGCCGAUGUACCUAUUAACCCGAAUGUUUAAUGGAAACCUAUGGAAAAAUAUGACCAAGGCAUUUUAUGAAAAUACUGAUUCGUCAAAACAUUUACGGAAUAGCUGACCGAGCACGCGAUACUAAAAUCGACCAAGUUGUUGCCUUGAAAAAGGAAAAAUGGAACAUAAUAAAAAUUAUAACCGAUGAGCAAAGAAAUUUCAGUCGUUCUACUUCAUAAAGACAAAAUUGAUAAUAUAUAAUUUUAAUUGUACACAUACGUAUU